This 428-nucleotide ribosomal RNA is filed under the name uncultured bacterium. RNAcentral describes it as "bacterial SSU rRNA". It matches the Rfam family "Bacterial small subunit ribosomal RNA", at positions 29 to 507 of the family's 1533-position model. The record is from RNAcentral.
AACGAACGCUGGCGGCAGGCUUAACACAUGCAAGUCGAGCGCCCCGCAAGGGGAGCGGCAGACGGGUGAGUAACGCGUGGGAACAUACCCUUUAGUACGGAAUAGCCUCGGGAAACUGGGAUUAAUACCGUAUACGCCUACGGGGAAGGAUUAUCGCUAAAGGAUUGGCCCGCGUUGGAUUAGCUAGUUGGUGAGGUAAUGGCUCACCAAGGCGACGAUCUAUAGCUGGUCUGAGAGGAUGAUCAGCCACACUGGGACUGAGACACGGCCCAGACUCCUACGGGAGGCAGCAGUGGGGAAUAUUGGACAAUGGGCGAAAGCCUGAUCCAGCCAUGCCGCGUGAGUGAUGAGGGCCCUAGGGUUGUAAAGCUCUUUCGCUAGAGAAGAUAAUGACGGUAUCUAGUAAAGAAGCCCCGGCUAACUUCGUG